GACGAACGCUGGCGGCGUGCUUAACGCAUGCAAGUCGAACGAAGAGCGAUGGAAGCUUGCUUCUAUCACUCUUAGUGGCGAACGGGUGAGUAACGCGUAAUCAACCUGCCCUUCAGAGGGGGACAACAGUUGGAAACGACUGCUAAUACCGCAUACGAUCUGACCUCGGCAUCGAGGAUAGAUGAAAGGUGGCCUCUACAUGUAAGCUAUCACUGAAGGAGGGGAUUGCGUCUGAUUAGCUAGUUGGAGGGGGAACGGCCCACCAAGGCGAUGAUCAGUAGCCGGUCUGAGAGGAUGAACGGCCACAUUGGGACUGAGACACGGCCCAGACUCCUACGGGAGGCAGCAGUGGGGAAUCUUCCGCAAUGGACGCAAGUCUGACGGAGCAACGCCGCGUGAGUGAUGACGGCCUUCGGGUUGUAAAGCUCUGUUAAUCGGGACGAAAGGCCUUUUUGCGAAUAGUGAGAAGGAUUGACGGUACCGGAAUAGAAAGCCACGGCUAACUACGUG
RNAcentral lists this ribosomal RNA (510 nucleotides) under uncultured bacterium. Its description in RNAcentral is "partial 16S ribosomal RNA". It matches the Rfam family "Bacterial small subunit ribosomal RNA", at positions 28 to 507 of the family's 1533-position model. The record is from RNAcentral.